CAACCCAGUCCUGGUGCUCCGCAGGGCGCAGCUUUAUACGACCGCAGAGGUCGAACCCUGAACAGUUGGGGCAAGUAUGGACAAAACAUUCAAGCGUGAUACAGCUCUGAAUUUGGAUUGUGAUCAAAUUUUUGAAAUUACAUGGUUUUUUUUUUACACAAAACAAAUGUCAUGAUUUUACAAAUCAAUUAAAGAUUUCUUCUUCAAACUUUUUAAAUCUAAAAUUAAAUAGUUGACACAGCAUAGGUUUCUGACACAGAAUGAAUGUGGUCUAAUGAACUUAAAAGUUUUAUUUUGCCUUUGCACAAUUCACUAUGCUGUUGAAUAUUAAUCCUCUCAAAAAAAUGUUUGAAGAAAUUUUCUUUUUAUUUAUGAAAUCUGAAAUGAGAAAAAUUUAAACCCUCCCCCCCCCUUUUUUUUCACAUCUCCGUUUCCCUUUUUCCAAAACUGAUAUCAAUUCAAAUUUCUAAUGGAGUUUGCAACAAUAACUACUCUUUUAAAUACAUCAUAAAAUAUUAAAAUGUAAAAUAAAGUGCUUGUUAUCACUGAAUGGUAAAGAUUGGUUGGUAGUAAAAGUGAAUAUACAUUGUUUAUUGUAUAAAACAAUAAAAAAAACUUC
Molecule: long non-coding RNA, 619 nt
Filed under: Mytilus galloprovincialis (Mediterranean mussel)
Lineage: Eukaryota; Metazoa; Mollusca; Bivalvia; Mytilida; Mytilidae
Source: RNAcentral